RNAcentral lists this long non-coding RNA (299 nucleotides) under Capsicum annuum. RNAcentral describes it as "long non-coding RNA (CANN_LNC018928)". The record is from RNAcentral. Lineage: Eukaryota; Viridiplantae; Streptophyta; Magnoliopsida; Solanales; Solanaceae.
CAACCUUCAUAUCAAUUUUCACAACAUCUUUUGCACCUCAUCAUCCCUUUUAGUGUAGACACCCUCUACUUAAGCAAUUUACCUGAGUUGAUGUAUAAUAUAUCCAAAGAAAGAACUAGCUAAAAUAAGACUUACAAGUUGUUGAAACAAAAAAGGUAUUUUAUUGCUCAAAAAGGGAUCGAAAUGGAAUAUAAUCCUACAGUUUUAUUAUCUUGGCUAGAUGGUUCACUAUUCAUCAAUGGCCUAUGAUCACUUCUCAGCUGACUAUUUAAAACCCUAAUGGAAUGCUUUAGGUAAGU